This 583-nucleotide long non-coding RNA is filed under the name Fukomys damarensis (Damara mole-rat). Its description in RNAcentral is "lncRNA (ENSFDAG00000022820.1)". The record is from RNAcentral. Lineage: Eukaryota; Metazoa; Chordata; Mammalia; Rodentia; Bathyergidae.
CGGGGGGAGGGGCUGAUGCUUCAGGAGAGGAAGAAGGCAGAAGAGAAAGUCCGCCUGCGCCUUCUUUCUCAGGAGAUUCCUGUUCAUUAUCUUUGGGGCAACCCUGAGGCCCUCCCUUGGGGUGCCUGGACAGGAAAGGCCCCAGACGCCCCCACAGCGUGAGACAAUCAUAGAGGUGAUGGGGAAAAAAAAUCCAGCGGGAGGUAAAUCCCCCCACGCCCCUCGGUGCGCUGCGAGUCAUGCAUCGCACGCUCCCAGAGCUCAGCGUCCACCACAUCCACACCUUCCAUCCAAGGGGAUGAUUUAAGAACAGUCUCCCAGAAGACUUUGUGCUCAUUACUGGAUUGUCUCCUGACAGCCAAGAAUACUCCCCCAGACUUGCCUCCGGAACUCUGUGAAAUCUAUUUUGCAUCUGCAAGAGUCUGGGCCUCCCAAGAUCAGGUAAGUGACUGUAUUCAAAGACAAUUAAAAUUUGGAGGGUACAAUCUCAGCAGGAAACCCUUUCUCUUGGCCUUCAAAUCUCCCACAUGCUUCACUUUUUAUAUCAAAAGCCUUAUAAGGGGUAGAAUUGCUUAAUUCAGGG